CCUACGGGUGGCAGCAGUGGGGAAUAUUGCACAAUGGGGGAAACCCUGAUGCAGCGACGCCGCGUGAGUGAAGAAGUAUCUCGGUAUGUAAAGCUCUAUCAGCAGGGAAGAAAAUGACGGUACCUGAUUAAGAAGCCCCGGCUAACUACGUGCCAGCAGCCGCGGUCAUACGUAGGGGGCCAGCGUUAUCCGGAUUUACUGGGUGUAAAGGGAGCGUAGACGGCAACACAGGUCUGGAGUGAAAAGCCGGGGCUUAACCCCGGAACUGCUUUGGAAACUGUGCAGCUAGAGUGCAGGAGAGGUAAGUGGAAUGCGUGGUGUAGCGGUGAAAUGCGUAGAUAUUAGGAGGAACACCAUUGGCGAAGGCGGCUUACUGGACUGUAACUGACGUUGAGGCUCGAAAGCGUGGGGAGCGAACAGGAUUAGAUACCCGGGUAGUC
This 440-nucleotide ribosomal RNA is filed under the name uncultured bacterium. Its description in RNAcentral is "partial 16S ribosomal RNA". It matches the Rfam family "Bacterial small subunit ribosomal RNA", at positions 338 to 795 of the family's 1533-position model. The record is from RNAcentral.